RNAcentral lists this ribosomal RNA (358 nucleotides) under uncultured Desulfobulbus sp. Its description in RNAcentral is "bacterial SSU rRNA". It matches the Rfam family "Bacterial small subunit ribosomal RNA", at positions 1024 to 1382 of the family's 1533-position model. Lineage: Bacteria; Pseudomonadati; Thermodesulfobacteriota; Desulfobulbia; Desulfobulbales; Desulfobulbaceae. The record is from RNAcentral.
AACGUCUGACACAGGUGCUGCAUGGCUGUCGUCAGCUCGUGUCGUGAGAUGUUGGGUUAAGUCCGUAACGAGCGCAACCCUUGUCUUUAGUUGCCAGCAGUUCGGCUGGGCGACUCUAAAGGGACUGCCGGUGUUAAACCGGAGGAAGGUGGGGAUGACGUCAAGUCCUCAUGGCCUUUAUGACCAGGGCUACACACGUACUACAAUGGCCGAUACAAAGGGCAGCGACACUGCGAGGUGAAGCCAAUCCCGUAAAAUCGGUCUCAGUCCGGAUUGGAGUCUGCAACUCGACUCCAUGAAGUUGGAAUCGCUAGUAAUCGUGAAUCAGAAUGUCACGGUGAAUACGUUCCCGGGCCUU